Molecule: ribosomal RNA, 522 nt
Filed under: uncultured fungus
Lineage: Eukaryota; Fungi
Description: eukaryotic LSU rRNA
Rfam family: 5.8S ribosomal RNA (bases 143-296)
Source: RNAcentral
UGCAAGUCGCAAAUCCACACACCUGUGCACCUAUGACUCUGAGUACCGCUUUGCAUGGGCUUUCAAAGGCCCUGGUACUCGAGUAACUUUUUACAUACUCUGAAUGUAACGGAAUGUCUAUUGUACAAUGUACAACUAAAACAACUUUCAACAACGGAUCUCUUGGCUCUCGCAUCGAUGAAGAACGCAGCGAAAUGCGAUAAGUAAUGUGAAUUGCAGAAUUCAGUGAAUCAUCGAAUCUUUGAACGCACCUUGCACCCUUUGGUAUUCCGAAGGGUACACCCGUUUGAGUGUCAUUGUAAUCUCACCCCUUUUGACUUUGCCGUCGAUCGGUGUGGACUUGGAUGUUGCCGUGUAACAAACGGCUCGUCUGAAAUGCCUGAGUGUACCCCGCUUUGCGGCGUAUUCGGUGUGAUAAAUCUUCGCCGGAGUUGACUUUCGAGUCGCGCUUGUACUGUGGGCUCUAUGCUUCCAACCGUCCCAAAAGGACAAUCUUUGACAAUUUGACCUCAAAUCGGGUGG